This 183-nucleotide ribosomal RNA is filed under the name uncultured Geothermobacter sp. RNAcentral's name for it is "partial 16S ribosomal RNA". It matches the Rfam family "Bacterial small subunit ribosomal RNA", at positions 1200 to 1382 of the family's 1533-position model. The record is from RNAcentral. Lineage: Bacteria; Pseudomonadati; Thermodesulfobacteriota; Desulfuromonadia; Desulfuromonadales; Geothermobacteraceae.
CCUUAUAUCCAGGGCUACACACGUGCUACAAUGGCCGGUACAAAGGGUCGCAAUACCGCGAGGUGGAGCUAAUCCCAAAAAGCCGGUCUCAGUUCGGAUUGGAGUCUGCAACUCGACUCCAUGAAGUCGGAAUCGCUAGUAAUCGCGUAUCAGCGUGACGCGGUGAAUACGUUCCCGGGCCUU